RNAcentral lists this ribosomal RNA (253 nucleotides) under uncultured bacterium. Its description in RNAcentral is "partial 16S ribosomal RNA". It matches the Rfam family "Bacterial small subunit ribosomal RNA", at positions 524 to 776 of the family's 1533-position model. The record is from RNAcentral.
UACGUAGGGUGCUAGCGUUACUCGGAUUUACUGGGCGUAAAGCACACGUAGGUUGACUUGUAAGACAGAAGUGAAAUCCCCAAGCUUAACUUGGGAACUGCUUUUGUUACUGCUUGUCUGGAGUGCGGUAGAGGAUAAUGGAAUUUCUAGUGGAGGGGUAAAAUCCGUAGAUAUUAGAAGGAACACCAAAAGCGAAAGCAAUUAUCUGGGCCGUUACUGACACUGAGGUGUGAAAGCGUGGGGAGCAAACAGG